RNAcentral lists this ribosomal RNA (520 nucleotides) under uncultured bacterium. RNAcentral describes it as "bacterial SSU rRNA". It matches the Rfam family "Bacterial small subunit ribosomal RNA", at positions 26 to 518 of the family's 1533-position model. The record is from RNAcentral.
AGGACGAACGCUGGCGGCGUGCCUAAUACAUGCAAGUCGAACGGUCUUUCUAUGGAAGCUUGCUUCCACUGAGAAGAUAGUGGCGAACGGGUGAGUAACACGUGGGUAACCUGCCCAUAAGAGGGGGGAUAACAUCCGGAAACGGGUGCUAAUACCGCAUAGUUUUCUUGAUCGCAUGAUUGAGAAAGGAAAGACGGCCUUUGUGCUGUCGCUUAUGGAUGGACCCGCGGCGUAUUAGUUAGUUGGUGAGGUAACGGCUCACCAAGACGAUGAUACGUAGCCGACCUGAGAGGGUGAUCGGCCACAUUGGGACUGAGACACGGCCCAAACUCCUACGGGAGGCAGCAGUAGGGAAUCUUCCGCAAUGGGCGGAAGUCUGACGGAGCAACGCCGCGUGAGUGAAAGAAGGUUUUCGGAUCGUAAAACUCUGUUGUCAGAGAAGAACAAGUUGGAGAGUAACUGCUCCAGCCUUGACGGUAUCUGACCAGAAAGCCACGGCUAACUACGUGCCAGCCGCGGC